This 273-nucleotide ribosomal RNA is filed under the name uncultured bacterium. RNAcentral's name for it is "partial 16S ribosomal RNA". It matches the Rfam family "Bacterial small subunit ribosomal RNA", at positions 524 to 796 of the family's 1533-position model. The record is from RNAcentral.
UACGGAGGGCGCGAGCGUUGUCCGGAAUCACUGGGCGUAAAGGGCGCGUAGGCGGCCGGGGAAGUCGGUGGUGAAAGCCCGGGGCUCAACCCCGGGUCGGCCAGUGAUACUCCCCGGCUGGAGCACUGUAGGGGCGGGCGGAAUUCCGGGUGUAGCGGUGGAAUGCGUAGAGAUCCGGAAGAACACCGGUGGCGAAGGCGGCCCGCUGGGCAGUGGCUGACGCUGAGGCGCGACAGCGUGGGGAGCAAACAGGAUUAGAUACCCUAGUAGUCC